Molecule: ribosomal RNA, 467 nt
Filed under: uncultured bacterium
Lineage: Bacteria
Description: partial 16S ribosomal RNA
Rfam family: Bacterial small subunit ribosomal RNA
Source: RNAcentral
GACGAACGCUGGCGGCGUGCUUAACACAUGCAAGUCGAACGGAAAGGCCCUGCUUUUGUGGGGUGAUCGAGUGGCGAACGGGUGAGUAACACGUGAGUAACCUGCCCUUGACUUUGGGAUAACUUCAGGAACUGGGGCUAACACCGGAAAGGCACACCUGCUGCAUGUGGGGGGAUGGGAACUUUCGGCCGUUGGGGAUGGACUCGGGGCUUAUCGGCUUGUUGGUGGGGUAGGGGCUUACCCAGGCUUGGACGGGUAGCCGGCCUGAGAGGGUGACCGGCCACAUUGGUACUGCGAGACGGCCCAGACGCCUACGGGAGGCAGCAGUGGGGAAUAUUGCCCAAUGGGCGGAAGCCUGAUGCAGCAACGCCGCGUGCGGGAUGACGUCCUUCUGGUUGUAAACCGCUUUCGCCUGUGACGAAGCGGGAGUGACGGUAAUGGGUAAAGAAGCACCGGCUAACUACGUG